This 270-nucleotide ribosomal RNA is filed under the name uncultured archaeon. RNAcentral describes it as "partial 16S ribosomal RNA". It matches the Rfam family "Archaeal small subunit ribosomal RNA", at positions 477 to 747 of the family's 1478-position model. The record is from RNAcentral.
CAGCACCUCAAGUGGUCAGGAUGAUUAUUGGGCCUAAAGCAUCCGUAGCCGGCUCUGUAAGUUUUCGGUUAAAUCUGUACGCUCAACGUACAGGCUGCCGGGAAUACUGCAGAGCUAGGGAGUGGGAGAGGUAGACGGUACUCGGUAGGAAGGGGUAAAAUCCUUUGAUCUAUUGAUGACCACCUGUGGCGAAGGCGGUCUACCAGAACACGUCCGACGGUGAGGGAUGAAAACUGGGGGAGCAAACCGGAUUAGAUACCCGAGUAGUCC